Molecule: non-coding RNA, 247 nt
Filed under: Enterococcus sp.
Lineage: Bacteria; Bacillati; Bacillota; Bacilli; Lactobacillales; Enterococcaceae
Description: T-box sequence
Rfam family: T-box leader
About the family: Uncharged tRNA acts as the effector for transcription antitermination of genes in the T-box leader family.
Source: RNAcentral
CUAAAUCACAUAAACAGAACAAGUACUCAAUUGACCACUUCCUGACAGAGACUUUUUUAUUCGCUGAGAGAAAAAGCUGGAAACCAUUGAUGAACACAUCUGUUUCAGACAUUUUCUGAAUCAAGUAAGAAGGUGCGGUAUUCUCCGUUAUCAGAAAAGAAUCUUUAGCUGAGCUAAAGAUUCCAUGAGGUUAAUCCUGUGAGGGAUUAACAAAUUGAGGUGGAACCACGAUUAUUUCGUCCUCUUG